AAGUAUAAGCAAUCUAUACGGUGAAACUGCGAAUGGCUCAUUAAAUCAGUUAUCGUUUAUUUGAUAGUACCUUACUACUUGGAUAACCGUGGUAAUUCUAGAGCUAAUACAUGCUAAAAACCCCGACUUCGGAAGGGGUGUAUUUAUUAGAUAAAAAACCAAUGCCCUUCGGGGCUCCUUGGUGAUUCAUGAUAACUUAACGAAUCGCAUGGCCUUGUGCCGGCGAUGGUUCAUUCAAAUUUCUGCCCUAUCAACUUUCGAUGGUAGGAUAGUGGCCUACCAUGGUUUCAACGGGUAACGGGGAAUUAGGGUUCUAUUCCGGAGAGGGAGCCUGAGAAACGGCUACCACAUCCAAGGAAGGCAGCAGGCGCGCAAAUUACCCAAUCCCGACACGGGGAGGUAGUGACAAUAAAUACUGAUACAGGGCUCUUUUGGGUCUUGUAAUUGGAAUGAGUACAAUUUAAAUCCCUUAACGAGGAACAAUUGGAGGGCAAGUCUGGUGCCAGCAGCCGCGGUAAUUCCAGCUCCAAUAGCGUAUAUUAAAGUUGUUGCAGUUAAAAAGCUCGUAGUUGAACCUUGGGCCUGGCUGGCGGGUCCGCCUCACCGCGUGCACUUGUCCGGCCGGGCCUUUCCUUCUGGGGAGCCGCAUGCCCUUCACUGGGUGUGUCGGGGAACCAGGACUUUUACUUUGAAAAAAUUAGAGUGUUCAAAGCAGGCCUAUGCUCGAAUACAUUAGCAUGGAAUAAUAGAAUAGGACGUGUGGUUCUAUUUUGUUGGUUUCUAGGACCGCCGUAAUGAUUAAUAGGGAUAGUCGGGGGCAUCAGUAUUCAAUUGUCAGAGGUGAAAUUCUUGGAUUUAUUGAAGACUAACUACUGCGAAAGCAUUUGCCAAGGAUGUUUUCAUUAAUCAGUGAACGAAAGUUAGGGGAUCGAAGACGAUCAGAUACCGUCGUAGUCUUAACCAUAAACUAUGCCGACUAGGGAUCGGGCGAUGUUAUCUUUUUGACUCGCUCGGCACCUUACGAGAAAUCAAAGUUUUUGGGUUCUGGGGGGAGUAUGGUCGCAAGGCUGAAACUUAAAGAAAUUGACGGAAGGGCACCACCAGGAGUAAACCGCUCAUGCGUAGCCGCAGCAGCUCUGCUCCAGAAAGCAGCCCGAAAGGGUCAGUGGUGUUCCUUGCUCCGGGUUUCGACCUGGGGCAGAACUAAGUGCUAGUCGUCCUCGGGGACGGCGACACCCUCAAACUGCGGGAAACUCCUAAAGUCUCAGCUACCAAGCCGGCAUGCGAAAGCUGCUGGUGGCCAGGUUAAUUGCCUCGGGUAUGGUUACAAUGCUGGGGAUGUUACAAUGGACAAUCCGCAUCCAAGCUCCUAAGGUCGAACGACUACGGAGAAGGUUCAGAGACUAGAUGGGGGUGGGUAGUCGAUUCGGUACUGCUUAAGAUAUAGUCCGGCUGCGAGUGAAAACUCGCAGGUAGGUAUCGCCUAUCUACCGCGCCCGCGGGCGUGGGAAGAACGGGAGCCUGCGGCUUAAUUUGACUCAACACGGGGAAACUCACCAGGUCCAGACACAAUAAGGAUUGACAGAUUGAGAGCUCUUUCUUGAUUUUGUGGGUGGUGGUGCAUGGCCGUUCUUAGUUGGUGGAGUGAUUUGUCUGCUUAAUUGCGAUAACGAACGAGACCUUAACCUGCUAAAUAGCCAGGCUAGCUUUGGCUGGUCGCCGGCUUCUUAGAGGGACUAUCGGCUCAAGCCGAUGGAAGUUUGAGGCAAUAACAGGUUGACCUUCACAGGCCUGUAAAUGCAGGCCUCAAACUUUCGAUGGUCAGUGGGUGUCGGAUACUGCAAGUACAUCAUCUUUACCACCCCGGAGCGAGCGCUCCAUUACGAGGGGGUGGGGUAUUCGCCGAAUACCUGAUGGGUGCGAGAUGACCUGGUUCAGGGGACGCCUCACUGUAGGCCAAUCCUGAGGCGAGCUAGAGUAGCGUCUAGCCGUCGCAACGCACGCAAAGGCAUCGGUUCGCCCCGUAGCGAUACGGGCGAGCUUAAAGGUACGUGCUAUACCCUCCGCAAGGAGUGCUAGUAGAAUAGGCCUCGUAAGCCGAAGCUGCUGGGAUCGUCAUCCGGAUCCGUUCCGUGUCGGUUGUGCGAGGGUGCGAGAGACCUCGGUCUCCGCCACCCUCUGAAAGCUGUGAUGCCCUUAGAUGUUCUGGGCCGCACGCGCGCUACACUGACAGAGCCAACGAGUUCAUCACCUUGGCCGAAAGGUCUGGGUAAUCUUGUUAAACUCUGUCGUGCUGGGGAUAGAGCAUUGCAAUUAUUGCUCUUCAACGAGGAAUUCCUAGUAAGCGCAAGUCAUCAGCUUGCGCUGAUUACGUCCCUGCCCUUUGUACACACCGCCCGUCGCUACUACCGAUUGAAUGGCUCAGUGAGGCUUUCGGACUGGCUCAGGGAGGUCGGCAACGACCACCCAGAGCCGGAAAGUUGUUCAAACUUGGUCAUUUAGAGGAAGUAAAAGUCGUAACAAGGUUUCCGUAGCAUAAGUCGUGGAACUGGCCGCAAGGCCGUCUGGUCGUUGAGGGUGAUGCCUCUGACCGUGAUCCUUCCGCAAGUGAAACUUAUAGAAGCCUUUGCAGCCUCGCAAGAGGUAGCCCAGCGACAGUAAAUAAUUUGGGACUCAUGCAAGUCACCGAUCCUCCGGGUUCGGUGGCGACACGAUCGAAUUGACGGGGACACCCUAAAGCCUGCAACACGAACCACCCAUGGAAACAUAGGGUGGGGCCCAUGCUAACAACAUGGGGUCGUAAAAGAGUGCAGUGAUGAACCCGACGCCUGUCGGGGGAAAUGGGCAAUCCGCAGCGAAGACCCUACGGUGCUCUGCACACGGGUAACGUUCACAGACUAGGUGGUUGUGGGUGGCACUCCGGUGCUGCUUAAGAUAUAGUCGGGCCCCACGGGAAACCAUGGGGAUAAUUCACUUGCGAGUCACUCGUGACUCGAGAAUAGAACCGUUCCGUAGGUGAACCUGCGG
This 3027-nucleotide ribosomal RNA is filed under the name Collophorina africana. RNAcentral describes it as "partial 18S ribosomal RNA". The stretch from base 1 to 2384 matches the Rfam family "Eukaryotic small subunit ribosomal RNA". The record is from RNAcentral. Lineage: Eukaryota; Fungi; Ascomycota; Leotiomycetes; Phacidiales.